This is a transfer RNA of 86 nucleotides. It matches the Rfam family "tRNA". From Rfam's summary of the family: Transfer RNA (tRNA) molecules are approximately 80 nucleotides in length. The record is from Rfam.
GCGCGGUUAGUUCAGUGGUUAGAAUUCUCGCUUCCCAUCCCAAUGUGGGUUAGCGAGAGACCCGGGUUCGAAUCCCGGAUCGCGCA